GUUUGCUUUGGUAGUACAUAUAUUAAAAUUGGAAUAAUACAGAGAAGAUUAGCAUGGCCUCUACGCAACAAUGGUGCACAAAAUCGUGAAACGUCCCAUUUUUUU
Hypanus sabinus (Atlantic stingray) is the source of this 105-nucleotide small nuclear RNA. The record is from RefSeq and is a predicted model, not a curated record. Lineage: Eukaryota; Metazoa; Chordata; Chondrichthyes; Myliobatiformes; Dasyatidae.